CUAGCUGGUGGGGUAAGAGCUCACCAGGGCUGUGAUCGGUAGCUGGUCUGAGAGGACGAGCAGCCACACUGGGAUUGAGAACGGCCCAGACUCCUACGGGGGGCAGCAGUGAGGAAUUUUCCGCAAUGGGCGCAAGCCUGACGGAGCAACGCCGCGUGCAGGACGACGGCCUUCGGGUUGUAAACUGCUUUUCUGGGGGACGAGCAAGGACGGUACCCCAGGAAUCAGCCCCGGCUAACUACGUGCCAGCAGCCGCGGUAAUACGUAGGGGGCAAGCGUUGUCCGGAGUUACUGGGCGUAAAGCGCACGCAGGCGGUUGCACGCGUUUCCGGUGCCAGCCCGUUGCUUAACGACGGGAGUGCCGGGAAGACGGUGUGACUGGAGGACCUCAGAGGGACAUAGAAUUCCGGGUGGAGUGGUGAAAUGCGUAGAUAUCCGGAGGAAUACCAAUGGCGAAGGCAGUGUCCUGGGAGGUAACUGACGCUAAGGUGCGAAAGCCAGGGGAGCGAACGGGAUUAGAUACCCCGGUAGUCCUGGCCGUAAACGAUGACCAUUAGGCGUGUGGGGUAUCGACCCCCUGCGUGCCGAAGUUAACACAUGAAAUGGUCCGCCUGGGGAGUACGGUCGCAAGAUUAAAACUCAAAGGAAUUGACG
RNAcentral lists this ribosomal RNA (654 nucleotides) under uncultured bacterium. RNAcentral's name for it is "SSU rRNA". It matches the Rfam family "Bacterial small subunit ribosomal RNA", at positions 245 to 915 of the family's 1533-position model. The record is from RNAcentral.